AUGAAUGCUGGCGGCGUGUCUAAGGCAUGCAAGUCGCGCGGACAUAAUGCGAUUACAUCAAGCUAUGUUAGCGGCAGACGGGAGCGGAACACAUUGGUAACAUUCCUCGAAGUCGUGAACAACCCCGGGAAACUGGGGCUAAUACACGAUGGCCAAGGGAGGUCGUAAGGCCCUUCCUUGUAAAGCUUCGGCGCUUCGAGAUUGGCCUAUAUCCUAUCAGUUAGUUGGUGAGGUAAUGGCUCACCAAGGCAAUGACGGGUAGCGGUUCUGAGAGGAUGAUCCGCCACACUGGUACUGAGACACGGACCAGACUCCUACGGGAGGCAGCAGUGAGGAAUAUUGCACAAUGGGGGAAACCCUGAUGCAGCAACGCCGCGUGGAGGAUGACGCAUUUCGGUGUGUAAACUCCUUUUAUAUGUCAAGAAAAUGACGGUAGCAUAUGAAUAAGCACCGGCUAACUCCGU
Molecule: ribosomal RNA, 464 nt
Filed under: uncultured bacterium
Lineage: Bacteria
Description: bacterial SSU rRNA
Rfam family: Bacterial small subunit ribosomal RNA
Source: RNAcentral